RNAcentral lists this long non-coding RNA (330 nucleotides) under Linum usitatissimum (flax). RNAcentral's name for it is "long non-coding RNA (LUSI_LNC001119)". Lineage: Eukaryota; Viridiplantae; Streptophyta; Magnoliopsida; Malpighiales; Linaceae. The record is from RNAcentral.
CGCCCGCCCCCGUUGAUAUAAUUGCAAUAGUUUUUCAGGUAGAAAAAAAAUAUGACAGUAGCUGGGAACAAAUCUUAUAUUCCAUUUAUUCCAACAAAUCUGGAGAAUCAGGAUAACCCAACCGAUACGCAGCAGUUCAUAAUUUAUUACACAAUACACAAAGACACGCUAACAGGAUCCAAACAUUACUUUUGCUCAAAUACAGUACAACACAAAUUUGAAAACACGGAGAAUUCAUUCAAUCAGCCAUCAAGCAUGGCGUUGAGAGCAGCUUUCAGACGAGCCACCUGAUCCUUCAAAUUCUUUAUCUCCUCCGCAUCGGAGGCGGGG